CGGGCUUUGCUUCUGAGCAGUGCUUAUUGACGCCGGGGAUCAAGUGGUCACAGGUUCAAAUCCUGUCAGCCCGACCA
RNAcentral lists this transfer RNA (77 nucleotides) under Alpinimonas psychrophila. Its description in RNAcentral is "tRNA-OTHER". Lineage: Bacteria; Bacillati; Actinomycetota; Actinomycetes; Micrococcales; Microbacteriaceae. The record is from RNAcentral.